Molecule: ribosomal RNA, 448 nt
Filed under: uncultured bacterium
Lineage: Bacteria
Description: bacterial SSU rRNA
Rfam family: Bacterial small subunit ribosomal RNA
Source: RNAcentral
UCCAGACUCCUACGGGAGGCAGCAGUGGGGGAUAUUGCACAAUGGGGGAAACCCUGAUGCAGCGACGCCGCGUGGGUGAAGAAGCGCCUCGGCGCGUAAAGCCCUGUCAGCAGGGAAGAAAAUGACGGUACCUGAAGAAGAAGCCCCGGCUAACUACGUGCCAGCAGCCGCGGUAAUACGUAUGGUGCAAGCGUUAUCCGGAUUUACUGGGUGUAAAGGGAGCGCAGGCGGUACGGCAAGUCUGAUGUGAAAGCCCGGGGCUCAACCCCGGUACUGCAUUGGAAACUGUCGGACUAGAGUGUCGGAGGGGUAAGUGGAAUUCCUAGUGUAGCGGUGAAAUGCGUAGAUAUUAGGAGGAACACCAGUGGCGAAGGCGGCUUACUGGACGAUUACUGACGCUGAGGCUCGAAAGCGUGGGGAGCAAACAGGAUUAGAUACCCUAGUACCG